ACCCGUUGAUCCUGCGGGAGAUCGCUGCUAUCUGGGUUCGACUAAGCCAUGCAAGUCAGGGGGAGCAAUCCACCGGCGUCAUGCUCAGUAACACGUCGAUAAUCUGCCCUUAAGUUCGGGAUAACCUCGGGAAACUGAGGCUAACACCGGAUAGGAAAACAAUUCUGGAACGAGUGUUUUCUUAAAGGCAACGCUUAAGGAUGGGACGGCGGCGGAUUAGGCUGUUGGUGAGGUAACGGCUCACCAAACCGAAGAUCCGUACGGGCUCUGAGAGGAGUAGCCCGGAGAGGGGCACUGAAAUACUGGCCCCAGCCCUACGGGGUGCAGCAGGCGCGAAAACUUUACAAUACACGCAAGUGUGAUAAGGGAACCCAGAGUGCUAUACUAACGUAUGGCUUUUGCCAAGGGCAAAUACCUUGGAGAAUAAGUGGUGGGCAAGACUGGUGCCAGCCGCCGCGGUAACACCAGCUCCACAAGUGGGGAUCAUAAUUAUUUGGCCUAAAGCGUCCGUAGCUGGUCAUGUAAAUCUUUUGUGAAAUUGUUCGGCUCAACCGAUCAGCGUGCAGGAGAGACUGCUUGACUAGGGACCGGGAUGGCUAGAGGUAUGCCGUGGGGAGCGGUAAAAUGCUAUAAUCCACGGUAGACCACCUGUGGCGAAGGCGUCUAGCUAGAACGGGUCCGACAGUGAGGGACGAAAGCCAGGGGAGCAAACCGGAUAAGAUACCCGAGUAGUCCUGGCCGUAAACUCUGCGAGCUAGGUGUUGCAUAUUCUCUGUGAAUAUGCAGUGUCGAAGAGAAGUCGUUAAGCUCGCCGCCUGGGAAGUAUGGUCGCAAGACUGAAACUUAAAGGAAUUGGCGGGGGAGCACUACAAGGGGUGCGGCGUGCGGUUUAAUUCGACUCCACUCGGAGAAUCUCACCAGAGGCGACGGCAGGAUGAAGGUCAGUCUGAAGGGCUUACCUGACGAGCCGAGAGGUACUGCAUGGCCGUCGUCAGCUCGUGCCGUAAGGUGUCCCGUUAAGUCAGGCAACGAGCAAGACCUGUAUCUACAAUUGCUAACGACUCAUCUUGAGAAUCGAGCACAUUGUAGGGACUGCCUUGGAAACAAGGAGGAAGGUGCAGGCAACGGUAGGUCUGUAUGCUCCGAAUCUUCUGGGCUACACGCGCGCAACAAUGGUAUAGACAAUGGGCUGCAACUCCGAAAGGAGAAGCUAAACCUCGAAACUAUAUCCUAGUCCAGAUUGAGGGCUGUAACUCGCCCUCAUGACGUUGGAAUCCCUAGUAAUCGAACGUCACCAGCGUUCGGUGAAUAUGUCCCUGCUCCUUGCACACACCGCCCGUCAAACCACCCGGGUAGGGUCUAGAUGAGGCUUCAUUUUGAAUGAUGUCGAAUCUAAGCUUUGCGAGGAGGGUUAAGUCGUCACAAGGUA
RNAcentral lists this ribosomal RNA (1429 nucleotides) under metagenome. Its description in RNAcentral is "bacterial SSU rRNA". It matches the Rfam family "Archaeal small subunit ribosomal RNA". The record is from RNAcentral.